UGUUCUGUGGCUUAGUUGGUUCAAGCACCGGUCCAGCAAAUAUGGAAUCGUGGGUUCGAAUCCCACCAGAACGC
Molecule: non-coding RNA, 74 nt
Organism: Aedes albopictus (Asian tiger mosquito)
Lineage: Eukaryota; Metazoa; Arthropoda; Insecta; Diptera; Culicidae
Source: Rfam